AUAAGAGCAGAAACAAAACUAUGAUUUUUUUCUAAUAGAGAACGUUAUAAUAUAAUUGGUAAACUCGAACGACGGACAAAAGCUACGCUAGGGAUAACAGUCUAACACGCCCUUAGAGUUCCUAUCGAUGGGCGUACGAGGAACCUCGAUGUUGGAUCAUCGCAUCCUAUGGCUGAAGAAGGUCAUAAGGGUUGGAUUGUUCAUCCAUUAAAGCGGUACGUGAUCUGAGUUAAGAACGUCGUGAGACAGUUCGGAUUCUAUCUUUGUUAGCAAAGGCAUUGAAGGUGUAGCCGUAUGGUUUCACACUCAAUUAUUGUUGAGUAUAUUUUUAGUAUACUAAACUUAUACACAACAACAGAGGAACUGAAGUAAUCUUCAUUCUAAAAUUAUGUAACGCCUAAGCAACUAAAGCCUUUGAGAGUGAGUACGAAAGGACCAAUCUCUUAUAAACCUCUGGUAUACUUGUUGUCUAAAUAACGGUAUAGCAAGAAAGCUACGUUUAGUGGGGCUGAUUUGCUUAAUUUCAAUAAUAUCGAAUGGGCUUAGUUUAAAAUAACUAAAGAAUUAUAUAACAUAA
Molecule: ribosomal RNA, 577 nt
Filed under: Pleodorina starrii
Lineage: Eukaryota; Viridiplantae; Chlorophyta; Chlorophyceae; Chlamydomonadales; Volvocaceae
Description: LSU rRNA
Rfam family: Bacterial large subunit ribosomal RNA (bases 1-263)
Source: RNAcentral